AGGCGUGCCCGCCGGCCGGCCGGUAUUCUCGAACCUUCAUGCGCUUUCCUCGCUCCCCCCACAAACACCCACCGCUCCGCAACGGACAGGGGGCGGAGCUUCGCUUGCGCGGGAGCCAAUCAGAGCCCUCCAACGGCCGCAUGCCGGUGACGACACAGACUAUGGUGCCUGAGGCAAAGAGGUUUUCCUUGCUACAUGACCAUAUUCCAGUUAUUUCAGGCUUGGCUGGGCAGAAAAAUGCCAAAAGUAUGGAAUCUCCAUGAAGAGACUUCGCUGUUAGCAGCUUUUAUCACAACGGAUCCUUCUGAUCUCCCCUGAUAACAGCACACAAAAACCUCCUGAACUGUAUUGUUUGAACCUGAUUGUCCUCGGUGCUGCUGCUGAAUGCCACUCUUUUCCUUGUAUGCAUACGCAAAGACACAGACACCUAGACAGGCACACCCUUGAUGGGGUUGAUCAGGCAGGACACUGAUUCCCAUCUCUGGUGUUCAGGACAGAGUUUAUGAAAUCUGGAUUAACACUAAACUAUGUCAAACGUUGCUUUUUAUUCUGCACAUUACUUCAUGUCAAAGUCAGCCUUUCCAGCUGCCUUUAGAUAGUUUACUAUCCCAUGUGUGCCAGAUACAUAAUUUGGAACUAGAAUGAUGGAAUAGCCACACACAGAUUUUGUAUUUGAGGGUAAUCUCAUGUAAUCAUUCCAGCCAAAAGUAAUUCUAAAAACUGGAGACUCUGGAACCUCUGAAUCACAAUUUUUCCCCCUAAUAUUUCAUUAGUUGUUCUCAGCAUCAAAAUUUCUAGCAGAUCACAUCAUCUGAGCCCAAAUGACUUAUUUACCACUCAAGGUUAUACAGAGGACUGCUGCGCCAACCCGAAGUGCAAUAAAUAAGAACUACUUCAUGUGAUUUAAGUAUGAAAGGGCAAAGGUGUGGCACAGAGUUAUCAGUGAAGAUGGGACAGCGCUGGUGUGAAUGCUGGUUAUGUGCCAAUACUUACGCUGCACUGUCACCUGGACAACACAGCUUUCUUGUCCAGCCUCGUUGGUGGCAAUGCAUUGGUAUAACCCUGUGCUCAUCUGCGUAAGAUUCUUCAGCAGGACUUGUCCGGGGUUAGAAAUGUCUGAAACAGGAAAAACAACACUGCGAUUAAUUCAAAAAAAAAAGGCUAAGAAACCUUAACAGGGCACAGAAGCACAAAUUGAGCUUGUGGAUCAAAUCAGUUCAAUGAUGCCGCACAAAAUAUCAGCAAAUGAAUAAACAAACCUCCCCGUUGAGGGUGGAGCACGGCACAGCGUCCAGCUGCAGUGAGAGGCACUGGCACUGCCACCAAGCGACCCCAUUUAAAAAGCAGGCACAUGGCUGUGCGUGUGUGCGUGCGUGUGGGCGGUCAUCUGGCUGCGAGCAGAGGAAAUGACCUGACUUACUGACUCUCGAUGUAGGCGGGAGAUGUUCCGCUCUCUCGUCUUCCUCGUUUAUGCGCUGCCAUCGGUAGGAGAUGGGUGCAGUGCCGGAGGCGGAACGGCACUGCAAGGACAGCUCCUUGCCUUCCAACAGCUCCCCUUCCAACCAGCAUUUGGGCUUGGAAGGUUUUUCUAGAAGAGACAAAAGACAUGCGCAUGCAGCAGACUAUUUUCUCAGUAGAAAACCCUUUUUUUGGCACAAGAACGUAGUUUAAGCAGCUUCCAAGAGCUGCCUUCUCUGGAAUGCAUUAAAGAAUUACACCAGGGAUGGCUGUUACGGGACUUGAACUGCAACUGCGUGCAAACUCAUACUCUAACAAGUGGAGCUGCCUGGCUCAGACAUAGAAAUGACAUGUUAUAAUACCCUGGGGCAGCUUGCCUUGUGGAUGCUCCCAUCAGUGGAGCUGUAUUACUGUGAUCCUCUUCUAAGUACUAUUUAAAGAACAUCCUUUUCCUCCCCUUACUUCUCCAUUUCUUCCUUCUCCCCACAGCAUCUGGCAGGCCACAGCACUUCUUCCAUGGGAUGACAGCGUACAUGUCAAAAACCAACCAAUAAACUGAAAUCAGGGAAGCAAAAUGCUAACCCCAGCAGUUUAUUUGUCACCUCCAUGGACUUGGAUUUGUUUGGAGUCCUGGGACAUGAACCCGGAGUCCUCAGCAGGAGAUCUGGACAGGGAGCUUGCCAGCUAAGCUAGAAUAUCAGUCUAGUUUGUGUGAUGAGAUCAUAGAGAUAAUUUGGAAAGAGCAGUCCAUAUGAUUUUGCAAGUGGUUGUACUUACCUCAAACCAGUUCUUUAGGCUCUUCCUGUGUCCUGUUCUUUGCCAAAAAACGCAAAGGCAGAUAGAGAGUCGGACAGUGAAACCUGAUCAUAAGAUGUCUUUGUGUAUUUAUACCCUGCUGAAACAAAUCUGCCUCCAGGAAAUGCGUCUGGAGAUUUUUGUUGUUGUUGUUUGGAAAAACAAUAAAAUGACCUUACCUACAACCUU
Molecule: long non-coding RNA, 2442 nt
Organism: Columba livia (rock pigeon)
Lineage: Eukaryota; Metazoa; Chordata; Aves; Columbiformes; Columbidae
Exons: 2
Source: RefSeq, a predicted model, not a curated record